GGCCUCUUAGGCAUUAGUCUGUUGAAUUCUCAUAUUGCCUUAAGUUAGGUGCUACUACCAUUUCCCCUUCAGAGAAAACUACACUGUGAGGGACUUGUCCAGGGUCCACAGGAUUGGAACUCGGGUCCUUAUUAACCAACUUUCCUGCUGGUUCCUCAGCCCCAGCUCUGCAUCCUCAUCUUGAGAUGCUCUGUUUGACCCUAUGCAAGUAGCUAGCCCUCUCUGGGCAUCUGUAAACCAAGGGCAAGGUCACAUAAGGUGUUCAGGCCUCUUUGUUCUUGGCUUUGGCCGCUUUGGGCCUGGAGGUCUGAGUGAAACAAAGAAGGUAGUGCUUUCCUUUCUCAGCCACUGGGAGCUGGAAGAUGGAAUCCGCUCAGCCGGUGCAGGCCCAUAAGUCACCCAGCUCCAGAAGCGGCUUCAUCAGCUAUCAGGAGGGUGCUGGCUGCACAGGGCCCAGCCCACACCCACCUUCAGAACAGACUUAAGCGCUAUUAAUUUCCUCACCCUCUACCCUCUGGGGAGCCAUUGCUUAGGUCUGGGCAAGGGGAGCCAGAGGCCAGGAGGAAGGCAGCGGUGGGAGGCUUUAGGUCCUCUGCAGGGUGUGUGACUAUGGGCCCCUCAGGUAGGGGGGCCUCAGUGGGCUGUGGGUGGAUAGGGGACUGGCACAUGUUGGGGUGAAUUCCAGGAUUGCUUUCCACUCUCAACCUCCCUCCUCCCCAGAAGGGAACCAGAGGGCUAAAGGGGCAGGAGGAAAGUCACAUUUAUUGAGUGCUUAUUGUAUACCAAGCCCGGGAACUAUCCUCUCAUCACAUUCUCUCCACAAGCCAGAGGUGUAAUUUGCCUCUAAGGAAAGAGGCUCAGAGAGAUUAAGUGACCUGCUCAGGACCUCACAGCUACUCCGUGGGCUAGGCUGGGACUGGGCUGCAGGUCUGGGCUGGGCCUCUGGACUGAGAAUGGGGACUGUCUUUAUCUCAUCACCAGGCUAUGGUGCAGACAAGGUGACCUUCUAGGUACUUCGAGAUGGAGUAAAGACUGACUUACCAGGUGAUGAUUGGGCCUUCCCGUGGCAGUGACGUCCUGGGGAGUACCUUUAGUCUCCACGCCUUGUUUGGAUCCAGGAGGCAUUUGGUCCCUGCCCAGUUCAGAGACCUCGAAGGGUGGGUGGUCAGGUCCAGCCGAGAGCAGAUGCGCACAGCAGGCUUCCCUGGUUGGCCUCCUCUCUGUCUUCCAGUCAGAUGGAUCCCUCCCUCUGUUCUCUCAGGCCACACCUUCCUAGCCUCCAGGAUCUGACUCUCCCAGCCCUUCUACCAGGCAUGUUAUCUUCUCAGUUUUCAUCCUGGAGCUCUACCCCGUGGUUCCAGACCCCGCUCCACUGCCACCCCCUUCUUCCACUCAGAGGGCCCCAGAGAGUAAACCAAGACCCUGCCUCGGGAGCUGGACACCUGUGCACCCAGCCCAGCACUGCUGGACUUGCACUGUGGCUUGAGUACCUUACAGAUUCUGUGCCUCUGUUUCCCCAACUGCCAAGUGAGAGCACAUGGGACACACAGAGGAUGUGCCUCUGACUAUCCUGCAGUUCUGUAGGUCUGAGCCUUUGGAUUGAGCUACAGUGCACUUUAGAGUUUGGAGGGAUGGCUUUUGGGGAGUGCUCUCAGAGGCCCCCUUUUGGCCAGGUAGGGACAGGAAAAUAUGUAUAUAGGGAGGGAGCUGUCCAGAACUGUGAAUAGUUAAUAACCUUAACACAUUGCUUCAUGGGGUACCUCUCACCCUCUGAGCCUCACAGCGGCCCUUUUAUGGGUGACUAAACUGAGCCUCAGGUGGAGGUGGUGGCUUUCCCAUAGCCACAGAGCUGGGAAGUGUUAGAGCUGGGCCAAAAACAAGCUCUCCUAAUCCUUCACCUGCAUCAGUGCUGCCAGAGUGGUGAGCUGGGAGCUAGUUCAUCCUGCACUGCUAGGGGAACUCUGGGACAAGUGACCAGAAGAGGGUCAAGCCUCCUGCCUCUUACAGCUCCUGUGCUCUGAGAGGGUCCCUCCUUUCUGAUGCUGGAGGGGGUGGGAGAAGAUCUCAAAGUCUCAGCAUCUCCUCUCCUCACCUGGACAGCAGUCAUUUGGCCUCAAGGCUCAUACCUCUCACCCAGACCCUGUCAUGUAGCCAUGCUGAGUGGCUCCCAGAAUUGUCAGCAUUCUAUACAUACUCUUCCCGUCGUGCUCUUCUGCCGCCUAAGACAACACCUCUGCCCCCCAGCCUUCCAGGCCACAUAGCCAGCCACCUACUUGAGAAGCCUCUUCUGAUACCUCUAACGGAUGUGCUGCCUACCCGAUCUCAACCCCAUAUGCUGCUGUCCCCAUAGCAUCAUCAUCGUUACGGCAAUUGUUAAGUUCUUUCUAUGUGCCGUGCCAGGUACUGUGUAUAAACUCCUCUAGUCCUCACAUGAGCUAGUUAUUAGUAUUAUUAUGUCUCCGUUUUACAGAUGAGAAAACUGAGGCACAGGGAGUUUCAUUUACCUGGUGUGAUGCCUCCCUAGUCAGGUUAUUUCAUAAGCACCUAUUUUCCCUCCCUGGAGACCACAGGCUGCUGGAUGGCUCACUGCUCUGUCCCGUCACCCAGCAUAGCUUCUGAGUGACUGAUGGAUGGGGGGUCAAGUGCUGCAAGAGAUGCAGGGGCCACACAAGGAUGCACCAGAGCAUCCCUCCAGGAGCUCCCAGGCUGUCAUGGGCUACCCACACCAAAUGCCACUGUAAGAGUUUGGGGAAAGAGAUACUAUCACUGUGUCAGGCCUGGAAGGCAGGCUUUGUUGGAGGCUAUGGUGAGACCAAGGACCCGAGUGAGGCAUUGACCUACCCAAGAUCACACAGCAAGUUUGAUGCAGCCGUGGGGCUGAGACCCUGGGCUACCAGUGUGAUGUGCCUUCUUGCUCCUUGCAGCCAGCUGUGGGGCCCCUGUGUCUGUGCUUUUUCAAGGACACAUGGUCCCAGACGCUUCCACGAUGUUGAGCUGUUCCAUGAGUGGCUCUGGUCCUUCUCGCCCCUUUAUUAAAAUUUUUU
RNAcentral lists this long non-coding RNA (3044 nucleotides) under Sus scrofa (pig). Its description in RNAcentral is "lncRNA (ENSSSCG00000054028.1)". The record is from RNAcentral. Lineage: Eukaryota; Metazoa; Chordata; Mammalia; Artiodactyla; Suidae.